GACGAACGCUGGCGGCGUGCUUAACACAUGCAAGUCGAACGGAAAGGCCCUGCUUUUGUGGGGUGCUCGAGUGGCGAACGGGUGAGUAACACGUGAGUAACCUGCCCUUGACUUUGGGAUAACUUCAGGAAACUGGGGCUAAUACCGGAUAGGAGCUCCUGCUGCAUGGUGGGGAUUGGAAAGUUUCGGCGGUUGGGGAUGGACUCGCGGCUUAUCAGCUUGUUGGUGGGGUAGUGGCUUACCAAGGCUUUGACGGGUAGCCGGCCUGAGAGGGUGACCGGCCACAUUGGUCCUGAGAUACGGCCCAGUCGCCUACGGGAGGCAGCAGUGGGGAGUAUUGCACAAUGGGCGGAAGUCUGAUGCAGCAACGCCGCGUGCGGGAUGAUGGCCUGCGGGGUGUAAACCGCUUUCGCCUGUGACGAAGCGUGAGUGACGGUAAUUGGUAAAGAAGCACCGGCUAACUACGUG
This 468-nucleotide ribosomal RNA is filed under the name uncultured bacterium. RNAcentral's name for it is "partial 16S ribosomal RNA". It matches the Rfam family "Bacterial small subunit ribosomal RNA", at positions 28 to 507 of the family's 1533-position model. The record is from RNAcentral.